GAGCGCCGUAGCAAUACGGAGCGGCAGACGGGAGAGUAACACGUGGGAACGUACCCUUUGGUUCGGAACAACCCAGGGAAACUUGGGCUAAUACCGGAUAAGCCCUUACGGGGAAAGAUUCAUCGCCGAAGGAUCGGCCCGCGUCUGAUUAGCUAGUUGGUGGGGUAAUGGCCCACCAAGGCGACGAUCAGUAGCUGGUCUGAGAGGAUGAUCAGCCUCACUGGGACUGAGACACGGCCCAGACUCCUACGGGAGGCAGCAGUGGGGAAUAUUGGACAAUGGGCGCAAGCCUGAUCCAGCCAUGCCGCGUGGGUGAUGAAGGCCCUAGGGUUGUAAAGCCCUUUCGGCGGGGAAGAUAAUGACGGUA
Molecule: ribosomal RNA, 367 nt
Filed under: uncultured bacterium
Lineage: Bacteria
Description: bacterial SSU rRNA
Rfam family: Bacterial small subunit ribosomal RNA
Source: RNAcentral